RNAcentral lists this ribosomal RNA (253 nucleotides) under uncultured bacterium. Its description in RNAcentral is "partial 16S ribosomal RNA". It matches the Rfam family "Bacterial small subunit ribosomal RNA", at positions 524 to 776 of the family's 1533-position model. The record is from RNAcentral.
UACAGAGGUCUCAAGCGUUGUUCGGAUUCAUUGGGCGUAAAGGGUGCGUAGGCGGCGCGGUAAGUCGGGUGUGAAAUCUCCGAGCUUAACUCGGAAACUGCCGUGGAUACUAUCAAUCUUGAAUACUGUGGAGGUAAGCGGAAUAUGUCAUGUAGCGGUGAAAUGCUUAGAUAUGACAUAGAACACCGAUAGCGGAGGCAGCUUGCUACACAGUCAUUGACACUGAGGCACGAAAGCGUGGGGAUCAAACAGG